Synchiropus splendidus (mandarinfish) is the source of this 1440-nucleotide long non-coding RNA. RefSeq lists it as uncharacterized. The transcript has 4 exons. NCBI's taxonomy places the organism in Eukaryota, Metazoa, Chordata, Actinopteri, Syngnathiformes, Callionymidae. The record is from RefSeq and is a predicted model, not a curated record.
UUCUGAUCCUUCGCUUCCUCAGCUUCCCUUCCUGCUUAUAGCUACAGCUACAUGGAUUACAAUAUGCGUGCCCCAGCUGCACCACCAUACCUGGGACCACCGAUGGGACCAGGACGAUGUGCAGCACCACAGCCUGUUUACAACCCCUGUGUCCCCCAAGCUCAGGUGAUACAAACAGCCACGGUAGGAGGGACGGUGCAGCCGGUGACGACAACUAAUACUUCUUCAUCGAUGAUUUGCAAUUGUUGCCUUCAACAGUAAUGAUUCUUUGCCAAAAUGUGAUGUCUGGUUUUUAUUGUUUUCCUGAUUGACUUCACUUAAAAACCACUAAAUAUUGAUAAAUAAAAUCAAAGAGAGCUAUGUUGUGUGUCUAACCCAGCUGACUGCCAGUCAUCACCAUCAUCAGGGCGACACAUUCAUUGUAGUUAACAGCGAAAACACGCUGCAUCCGGACCAAAGUGAUUCCUUCCUUUGCUUGUGAUUCAUGAUUUGCCCCUAAAUGCACCAGAGACCGUGAACAAUGUAUAUCAUUUAGCUUAAUAAUUAAUAUUGGAUUUGUAUUUCACGUUUUCACGAGUUGACUUUCAUGUGUGGUAAAUAUCAGCUCAGGCGUGGCCACAUUCUUUUGCUUUGUUGCUGCAAAGAGCGACAUCCCACAACUAUGCAGGUAUGGCAAACAACGUUGUAAGGCUGGCCUGGUCAUGUGACUUACCAGCAGUAUAGCGGUUAAAGCACAUUGCUGCAUGUCAGAAGGUUGUCGGUUCGCCUCUGGCGCAUCUCUCUUGUGCACAUUCAUUUUUAAAAUUGAUACAUUUUACAGUGAUCCUCUUGGAAAUAUCAAGCAGUGUAGAUUGAAAUGUGUGUGCCAGUUGUUUUAUUUCUAUAUUUCUUUACAUGUCUCAUACCACCAAUAACAUCUGCCCGAUCUGUGUGUGUGUGAGCAACGCCUCAGACUGGAGCGUCUCAUGUUGACUCUUAGCUCCACCGAAUGAAACAGAUGAAACAGACUUUACAGCAAUGAGUGAUGAAUAAUACGCAGAACACAUGCCACACGUUUAGUUUAGGGAAUGACAAAGCAAAACACGGAAGUAAGUCAUGUUAAAUCGUGAUCUGAUGACGAUGCAAGUCGCAUGUGGCUCAGGAACCAUGGGUGGCUUUAUAGAGUCAAUUUGCGGAUUUAGUGGCAUUUCAUUUUUUUGUUGUUAAUGUCCUUUGAAGAGAGAGAACUUUAUAGCUGCAAAGGUUCAUUACAGGUCAGUUGAGAAGGGUUGUCUAGUGAGCCACAUGGUUUCUUUACUGUGCUAUGUCUGGUUGAAUUAACUUUCCUUAACUUCAAUUUCAAUCAUUCCUGUUAUUGUGAAACAAAAAUUGGAUUAAAGGAAUCUGUUUUAGCUUUUACUUUGGAGUCCUGUAGUUAUACUUCUCAACUGAACAGAAUGC